Molecule: long non-coding RNA, 1210 nt
Organism: Pleuronectes platessa (European plaice)
Lineage: Eukaryota; Metazoa; Chordata; Actinopteri; Pleuronectiformes; Pleuronectidae
Exons: 4
Source: RefSeq, a predicted model, not a curated record
UAAAAAUGGUAACUAGUAAUUGUUGAUCUCAUAAGAGUUUUCAAAUUAAACUGACUCAGAAAUAAGGCUUUGCAAUAUGCAAUCUAUAAAAUCUUGUCUGUCCAGCAAUUUUCUCUCAUUGUUGUCCUAACUACUAUUUUAAAUCAGCACAACAAGGAUUUGUAAAUUUUUGAGCAGAUUUUUGAGUUAAGUUGGGCCAACUCAGUAGAUUCCAGUUUAAACCGGUUUUAACGGCUCUCUGCUGAACCUGAGCUACGGACAUUUUCUGGAUGGACAACGACGUGGAGCCCACAACAAUUUUGCUCAAGAAGGUAUGAGGUGGAUUUCAUGCACUGUAAAUUUUGCAAAUUUGAAAGCUCCAGCCAAGAGACUCUUCUCAAGCAUUUGCGGCUUCAUCACGGACAAGGUCCUAUGAGCUUGAAUAUCACACCUGUGCAGACCUUCUUCUUCUGGAUCCAGAUGUGCUGACGGAUUACCACCCUCUAGCAGCAUACACAGUUGGUGGAAAGCUUAUGGUGACCCCAAGGAAGUUCCUUCUCCAUUAAAGCUAUUCAAAAUGACUUUGUUACUUCGGGUCGUUCUUUCUACCAGAGAAGCCCGGCGAAUCCAGCUUCCUGAAGUCCCAACAUCUGUGGGGCAAUUUAUUGAUAUACUGAAAGAGAGACUUGAACUUCAAGGAGAUUUCUCACUACAGUUUGAGGAUCCAGAGUUUGGAAAUGCACUCUGCAACUUAACAGAAAUGUCUGAAUUACCAGCUGAGCGUGCAGUCUUGCAUAUAAUGUGGAACAGUGAUUCAUGUCCACUUGACCAAUCCACUAGUUCAGUCUCCUCUCAGGACACACUCAGUGUUCACUCUGAAGAUUUUAGGCCUAGUUGGACUGAUUCUAUCCGGAGGAAUUUAAGGCAAGUCGCAGAGUGGCCAUCUCCAUUUCCUAUCCCUAAGUUUGCAUAUGAUGUGGAACUGAAAUUGUGUAAGGCCAAUGACACAUAUGAAAAGUCAAAGAAGGGCCUUGCAGUGACAAGAGACAUGAAAAUGGAGAUACUGGAUAAAAUUGCACAGGCAAUUUUUGAAAUCAAAAGCUACCCCGAGAAAGAUGAGCUUGAGUCAGUUGCCGCUGCGCUGGUUCAUAAGUAUCCAUGCUUGAAGGAGCCAAUUGGCAUCACAGGCUAUGAGGGAUGGAAAACAAGUAUCAAGUACAAACUUGGAAAC